This is a long non-coding RNA of Hyaena hyaena (striped hyena), 927 nucleotides long. RefSeq lists it as uncharacterized. The transcript is spliced from 5 exons. Lineage: Eukaryota; Metazoa; Chordata; Mammalia; Carnivora; Hyaenidae. The record is from RefSeq and is a predicted model, not a curated record.
CAGCGUGGUGCUCUCACAGGGGACAAGCACCAGAGCACCUGCCUUCAAACAGGGCUUCUGAGCCUCAGAUCCCUAGAAUUGGGUCUACUGACUCUGGAUGGGGGGUAAACAACAGCAACAACAACAUGCAAAGGAGAAAGCAACAAAACCCCAGGCCAAAUACCCAGGCUGUGAGUCUUUCAGCUGAGUCCAUUCUUGUCCCUGGAAGGUGGGUCUGCUGCUGCCUGUGGUCUGUGUCGUCUCUCUUCUGUACACUUGAGCUGCAGUCGCUGUGACAUAUUUCAGCAGAACUCUCCACAGCUGAUUCUUGUGCAGCCUAGAGAGAAGACCUGUGGGCCUGAGGAGGUGGAGGGACUUGCCUGUGAAACUGGUCUGCAGAAAAGCCAGUCAUUGCUGCAAAAUGGCAGCUGCAUUCACAGAAUCCACUCUUCUCACUUUACAGAUGGGCCAAAUGAAGCCAACAACAGGAGACUUUUGAACAAACUACCAAGAGAUGUUCUGGGAAUUCUACUGGUUUCAGAUGAUGAGGUCAUCAAAGGUCAGAAGAUAAACCUCCAAGGAAAUACAGAAGAAUAUACUUUAGAAUGGCUGAGCAAAGUGUGGACAUUGAAACUAAGGAAUGCUAGCAGGUGUGUCUGGGAGGUGGCUGGCUAGAACAAUGAGGAUGUCAACCAAGGCUGCAGCUCUCAGCAAGCCAACAACAGACUAGGAGUUGAACGAUCAAUUCUCCCCAUCGAACAAUCAAGAAAAGCUUGGAGACCCAGAACUGGAAAACAUUUACUUGAAAACCACUGAUGCAGGGUUAGUCAAUUAAGCUUGCAUUUUCUUAGCUCACCCAGUUUUGGUAGUCACAUUUGUUGGUUAAUUUUCAUGAAAAUUCAGCUUUGACUUUUAUUCUCAAUAAGUUAAUAGAUUUUAUUUUUAUAU